GAGUUUGAUCCUGGCUCAGAUUGAACGCUGGCGGCAUGCCUUACACAUGCAAGUCGAACGGCAGCACGGGAGCUUGCUCCUGGUGGCGAGUGGCGAACGGGUGAGUAAUGCAUCGGAACGUAUCCUGGAGUGGGGGAUAACGUAGCGAAAGUUACGCUAAUACCGCAUAUUCUGUGAGCAGGAAAGCGGGGGACCUUCGGGCCUCGCGCUCUUGGAGCGGCCGAUGUCGGAUUAGCUAGUUGGUGAGGUAAAGGCUCACCAAGGCGACGAUCCGUAGCAGGUCUGAGAGGAUGAUCUGCCACACUGGAACUGAGACACGGUCCAGACUCCUACGGGAGGCAGCAGUGGGGAAUUUUGGACGAUGGGGGCAACCCUAAUCCAGCCAUGCCGCGUGAGUGAAGAAGGCCUCGGUUGUAAGGACGUCUUUCGUCGUACGGGAGGAAAGUUA
RNAcentral lists this ribosomal RNA (448 nucleotides) under bacterium enrichment culture clone ALO1_GLFRUDD03G2QQ8. Its description in RNAcentral is "bacterial SSU rRNA". It matches the Rfam family "Bacterial small subunit ribosomal RNA", at positions 9 to 457 of the family's 1533-position model. The record is from RNAcentral.